This 440-nucleotide ribosomal RNA is filed under the name uncultured bacterium. Its description in RNAcentral is "partial 16S ribosomal RNA". It matches the Rfam family "Bacterial small subunit ribosomal RNA", at positions 338 to 795 of the family's 1533-position model. The record is from RNAcentral.
CCUACGGGAGGCAGCAGUGGGGAAUAUUGCACAAUGGGGGAAACCCUGAUGCAGCGACGCCGCGUGAGUGAAGAAGUAAUUCGUUAUGUAAAGCUCUAUUAGCCGGGAAGAAAAUGACGGUACCUGAGUAAGAAGCCCCGGCUAACUACGUGCCAGCAGCCGGGGUAAUACGGAGGGGGCAAGGGUUAUCCGGAUUUACUGGGUGUAAAGGGAGCGUAGACGGGAGUGCAAGUCUGGAGGGAAAGGCGGGGGCUCAACCCCCGGACAGCCCUGGAAACUGGACGGCUGGAGUGCAGGAGAGGUAAGUGGAAUGCCUAGUGUAGCGGUGAAAUGCGUAGAUAUUAGGAGGAACACCAAGUGCGAAGGCGGCUUACUGGCCUGUAACUGACGUUGAGGCUCGAAAGCGUGGGGAGCAAACAGGAUUAGAUACCCUAGUAGUC